GCGAUACACAUGAACAAGAUGGCGGAGUUCGAAGGGAGACGAAAAUUGCUAUUUCUUUACGGCAAGUAACCAUAUCUGGAGAUGAUUAUGAAUGAUUUACUCUGCUCCCCCAGUCUUUUUGAUAGCUGUAUUUGCUGGAGGCUCCACUUCAGUGAACAACAUUCAAGAGGCACAUGUGAAAUGUUACAGAUAAGCCAAAUCUUAGAAAAAGAAUGAAGAUGAUGACUGACUUGGUAAGUUGUUUUGACUUAGAAAAUUUUUGCCUUCUUUCUGGAGUUGUAAAAAUGGUCUUAUUGUGCAUGUUGUGUUUAAAAAAUAAAGUUUCACUUUGGACUUAGUGGUUUUCCUGUGUUUUUUAAUGAAUUCCAUCUUUACCCUCUCCACGCCCUUUUUGGACUUGUAAAAAAAAUACCGCCCUGAGGUCCCACCAGCACCAAGUGUCACUACCCCGGUAGACCAGGACCACGCAGUACUUACUGUUCCGACAAGAGCCAUCUUAUGAAACCAUAACCAGGUGUUUGCUCUGAUGGUGAACACUGUCGAUAAGGAUAUCAGACUCUGAACUCUCUACAGACUCAUGAGAGUACCUUGAUGGUAAGCCAGCCUUUGUACUGUGAAGAUCAGUGCAAGUAAGAGACUUAUAAGAUAACCACACCUCACUACCCAUAGGUUUUACUGUACAGCAGUGAUGUAUGUCUUAGAGUGAUGCAAUCAAUAGACUUAAGGCGGUAUUCAGACUUCCUUAAAGUGUAUAUGAUUAUCAACCCUGGUUUGCCAAGACUAACAUGAAGUUUCUAGGCUACUAACUUGUGAAAAAUGAGCUGGUCUAUCCCGAAAAGGAAACUACCACCAUGUAAUUUAAUAUGAAAAGCUAACCUAUGCUCUGUACCCUUCAACAAUUAAUUUAUGUUUCCCUAGAGGACUAAGGUCUAUAAUGUAUUCUUAAUCUGCUAAGGGACUGGGUCUAUAAUUUAUUCAAUUAAGUAUUAAUAUAUUCAGAGUCUGCUAAGGGACUGGGUCUAUAAUUUAUACCAUUAAGUAUUAAUAUAUUCAGAGUCUGCAAAGGGAAUGGGUCUAUAAUUUAUUCCAUUAAGUAUUAAUAUAUUCAGAGUCUGCUAAGGGACUGGGUCUAUAAUUUAUUCCAUUAAGUAUUAAUGUAUUCAGAGUCUGCUAAGGGACUGGGUCUAUAAUUUAUUUCAUUAAGUAUUAAUGUGUUCAGAGUCUGCUAAGGGAAUGGGUCUAUAAUUUAUUCCAGUAAGUGUUAAUGUAUUCAGAGUCUGCUAGGGGGCUGAGCCUAUUUUUCUAUAUUUAUCUCAAGGGAACAGGGAUUAUCAUGUUGCUAUAUCAUAAUGACAUCACAUCACAUUUUUUUAUGGCAAAACCAGGAUUCCGAAUUAAGCUCAAAAAAAUCUUGAAUGUGCAAUCUUUCUCUUCCUAAUGUAAAACCAGCGUUUGCAGGGUUCAUGGGCCUAUAUUCAUGCAAAGCUGUCAUGCUUAUUCUCAGGUCAUUAUGAACCUUUGGUUUAAUGCACAUCAUUUUAUUUUUGAGAACUUGAAUGCAAGGCUUUGUGUUGAGGAAUCAAUCGUUCCAUUCAACAUGCCUGCUGUGUGAGUAAGGCUUACUGCAUGGUGAUGUCAUUACAAAAUAGAACAAGUUUGAAGGUUACUUUAUGAAAAUCAGUGCUGAAGGAGUUGUUCGUAGAAAACUUUAGUUUAGAAAUAACUAGAGUGGAUUUGGUAUUUGGAGCCCAAUGCAUGAUUUAGUUGUACAACCACAUUUUGUUUGGAUCAAGACAUGAACAGAUCAGCAACAUCAACAUGUGUGAGUAACCGUUACUCGAGCUGCAGGGCCGUAACUAGGGGGGAGCACAGGGUGCAUGUGCACUCCACAUAAAAGCUGAAGGUCCGCUCAUCCAUAUCCUUUUUUUUUUGGUUCUGCUUUCUUUGGGUUACCUUUUUUUUUGGUUCUGCUUUGUUAAAAGAAACGAUCAAUCGCCCGAUUUUAUUCGAUGUGCACCCUCCCUGUAAGAGUUCUGGUUACGGCCCUGUGCUGAUAACAAAUCCACUCUAUUAACUUUACAUCAAAGUUUAUUUUAUUUAAUGAUGAGGGAGGAUAGGUAAAGCCUUGGUCUAAUUCUUAGUCUUAGUCAAGUUUAUUAUAAGGAUUUUAGUCUUAUCUUAUUUCCUAAGAUGAGUUUUUUCACCAGCAAAAAACUUCUAAGCAGAAGUAAAUAAGCCAUAAUGAAUGAAAAAAUAAAAUUCAAAUGUGUCUUCGUAAUUUUGAAUUGAAUCGUGAGCAACUACA
This is a long non-coding RNA of Actinia tenebrosa (Australian red waratah sea anemone), 2305 nucleotides long. NCBI's taxonomy places the organism in Eukaryota, Metazoa, Cnidaria, Anthozoa, Actiniaria, Actiniidae. The record is from RefSeq and is a predicted model, not a curated record.